ACUGAGCUUAGAGUUUGAUCCUGGCUCAGAUUGAACGCUGGCGGCAGGCUUAACACAUGCAAGUCGAGCGGGGUGAUGGUGCUUGCACUAUCACCUAGCGGCGGACGGGUGAGUAAUGCUUAGGAAUCUGCCUAUUAGUGGGGGACAACAUUUCGAAAGGAAUGCUAAUACCGCAUACGUCCUACGGGAGAAAGCAGGGGAUCUUCGGACCUUGCGCUAAUAGAUGAGCCUAAGUCGGAUUAGCUAGUUGGUGGGGUAAAGGCCUACCAAGGCGACGAUCUGUAGCGGGUCUGAGAGGAUGAUCCGCCACACUGGGACUGAGACACGGCCCAGACUCCUACGGGAGGCAGCAGUGGGGAAUAUUGGACAAUGGGCGCAAGCCUGAUCCAGCCAUGCCGCGUGUGUGAAGAAGGCCUUAUGGUUGUAAAGCACUUUAAGCGAGGAGGAGGCUACUUUAGAUAAUACCUAGAGAUAGUGGACGUUACUCGCAGAAUAAGCACCGGCUAACUCUGUGCCAGCAGCCGCGGUAAUACAGAGGGUGCAAGCGUUAAUCGGAUUUACUGGGCGUAAAGCGCGCGUAGGCGGCUAAUUAAGUCAAAUGUGAAAUCCCCGAGCUUAACUUGGGAAUUGCAUUCGAUACUGGUUAGCUAGAGUGUGGGAGAGGAUGGUAGAAUUCCAGGUGUAGCGGUGAAAUGCGUAGAGAUCUGGAGGAAUACCGAUGGCGAAGGCAGCCAUCUGGCCUAACACUGACGCUGAGGUGCGAAAGCAUGGGGAGCAAACAGGAUUAGAUACCCUGGUAGUCCAUGCCGUAAACGAUGUCUACUAGCCGUUGGGGCCUUUGAGGCUUUAGUGGCGCAGCUAACGCGAUAAGUAGACCGCC
RNAcentral lists this ribosomal RNA (880 nucleotides) under uncultured bacterium. Its description in RNAcentral is "bacterial SSU rRNA". It matches the Rfam family "Bacterial small subunit ribosomal RNA", at positions 1 to 873 of the family's 1533-position model. The record is from RNAcentral.